RNAcentral lists this ribosomal RNA (466 nucleotides) under uncultured Bacilli bacterium. Its description in RNAcentral is "bacterial SSU rRNA". It matches the Rfam family "Bacterial small subunit ribosomal RNA", at positions 262 to 721 of the family's 1533-position model. The record is from RNAcentral. Lineage: Bacteria; Bacillati; Bacillota; Bacilli.
GGCUCACCAAGGCGACGAUACAUAGCCGACCUGAGAGGGUGAUCGGCCACACUGGGACUGAGACACGGCCCAGACUCCUACGGGAGGCAGCAGUAGGGAAUCUUCGGCAAUGGACGAAAGUCUGACCGAGCAACGCCGCGUGAGUGAAGAAGGUUUUCGGAUCGUAAAGCUCUGUUGUAAGAGAAGAACGAGUGUGAGAGUGGAAAGUUCACACUGUGACGGUAUCUUACCAGAAAGGGACGGCUAACUACGUGCCAGCAGCCGCGGUAAUACGUAGGUCCCGAGCGUUGUCCGGAUUUAUUGGGCGUAAAGCGAGCGCAGGCGGUUAGAUAAGUCUGAAGUUAAAGGCUGUGGCUUAACCAUAGUACGCUUUGGAAACUGUUUAACUUGAGUGCAAGAGGGGAGAGUGGAAUUCCAUGUGUAGCGGUGAAAUGCGUAGAUAUAUGGAGGACACCGGUGGCGAAAG